ACGCUCGACACCUACGGGAGGCAGCAGUGGGGAAUAUUGGGCAAUGGGCGCAAGCCUGACCCAGCAACGCCGCGUGAAGGAAGAAGGCUUUCGGGUUGUAAACUUCUUUUAUUAAGGACGAAGCAAUGACGGUACUUAAUGAAUAAGCUCCGGCUAACUACGUACCAGCAGCCGCGGUAAUCUGAGCGGGCUGGCAAGGC
RNAcentral lists this ribosomal RNA (200 nucleotides) under uncultured bacterium. RNAcentral's name for it is "partial 16S ribosomal RNA". It matches the Rfam family "Bacterial small subunit ribosomal RNA", at positions 328 to 539 of the family's 1533-position model. The record is from RNAcentral.